UUCUAUUCAUAAUAAUGUCGAUAUUGUCCAUCCAAUACCAUGCUUCCAACUACUCACAAGCAACCAAUCCUCGUCGAAAUUUGGAUUGUCCUUCGAUAGUUGUUUAAUUAUUUUAGUCAAAACCGAUUCUAGUCCUUUUUCCCUCUAAAUGCGCUAGACAUUUGGAAAAUUUUAGAAUGGUCAAACAUUAAAUCAUUUGCAAUCGAUCCUAUACCCGAAGCGUAUGGGACACGACGCAUAAUGUUUUAUUUGCUAUGUUCUCAAAAUUCGAAUUGUGAAGAGGAAUGUCGUAAUCAUAAUCGAAAUUUUAAGAACACACUAUGUACCCUUGACUAAAUUUAUUAACAUUUCUCAACCUAAUCCUUUAGAUUUGAAAUGAAGCAUAAUAUUCUCUCCCUUAAUUAUAGCAAAACAACUUUACAAACCUUACGACUUUGCAAGGUAUAACUCUUGUUUUCUAUAAUUAAUAUUGCCAACUUGCAAUACGUGCCUUAAUAAUCAUACAAUCAUAACUUUUAUGCUCCCACUAUCAUGAUGAUUAUUAUAAAACAUAACACUUAUGCUCCCACUAGCUUCGACAUGUAUUCAUAAACAUCUUAACUUUCAGAAAAACAAUACCUAUUGAAUUUCUUAAGUCCAUGUUUCUAAUACUUAAUGCUUUGAUAAUCUUUUAUCAAGGCUUCUUGAACUUAUACACCUUUGCCUUAGAUAGUUCAUAUGUGUGUCUAAACAAUUAAGACUAAUUGCCAAACCUCACAAUUCAAAUUAUGGAAAGGGAUACCGUAACCAUAAUCGAAUUCGAGAAUGCAAUUUUACAAUCACUAUCUUCUUAAAAUCUUUCUUAGUGAAAGCAUUUCCUCACAAUCAUUUUCAUGAAGGAGGAAAUCUUAUGACACUUAGAUUUAAACGGUGUAUGUGUUCCUAUCCAUGUGAAUUUGUUAAAACCAAAGUUUACGACAAAUUCAAACUCAUAUGGACCGAACUUUCUUAAUCUUGAUUUCUUGCCUUAUGGUAGCACAGCUGCCCACCAUGUCUUCCAAGUAGUUAAGCAGCUCACCCUUUCCUAUCAAUGUACCUUUCAUUGAUUAAGGUGCUUUGCCUUUUAUGCGUUCAAAAUGAUAACUCAUAGAACUCACAUGCAUAAUUAACCUUAUUGGAUUGGCACGGAAACAAAAUAAUGUCAUCACGAUAGGUUGUAAACCUCAACUCGUGUGCUAGUGAUGAUUGAUAAGGUUUAUUUGAUUUGUUCUAGAAACCUUUCAAGACCAUUAAGACUCCCACUGACUCCUUGACAUAUAAGAUUCUCUUGUCAACACAUUUCUUGACAAACAAAUAUUCAAGAGUUAGUGUAGCUUUUAUCAAAACACUUCAUAAAUUGGUCCUAGUUGGUCUUUGUCUUAUUCAAUACAUCAUAACUUUCCACAUUUAAUGAAUGUUAUAAACCUUCUUUAUACUUACUCAAUGUCAUAAUCUUAACUUUGAGACUUGUUUUGGAACGAAGUAUGAUUGACCUUUUGAUUUUAACCAUUUCUUCAAAUCUUGAUUCCUCUUCUUAGACAUACAAUUGUGCUAAGAUUCACUUAGAGGAUCAAUUGAGAUAUGGUUCUUAAUCAUUAAGACCUAUCAUAAAGCAUAAAAGGUACUCUCCCUUCUUCUUAGAAUGGAGAAACUUUUAUCUUUCUGCCUACUUGAUUCUUCUUAUUCGUUCUACUAUUGAUCUAAACCCUUUAAUCAAUUCAGAAUUACACUUAAUCUUGUAAGUAUAAUCAUAUUUACUAAACCUUUAGUAAAUCAUGACGAAUAUCAUUGUUACUCUUAUGGUGGACUUGAUCAACACGCAACUUUGUGUAUUCGAUCUCCAAGUCCUUCACUUGACACUUUGUCAAUGAAUUAGUCUAAUUUCCAAAUAUGAAAUUUCUCAUUCAUCGUGCAACCAAGUUGCAUGAUUCCAAGUUUCUGUCCAAUUGAAACUUGGGCGAUGAGAAACUCUCCCUAUUUGGUAAAUUCUCGACUUUCCAUAAAUAACAUAAUAAGAACCAAAUCCAUUAUUGCUAAUAAUAGAAACAUUCAAACAUCAAUUUUUCAUAUACGCCAUUGCAAGGAUAAAUAAAUAAUAUAAAAUCAAAAUUUAUUUUAUUGCGGAAAAAUUUUGUCCUUACAAUGCAAUUCAUUGAAAAACUAUGCUAAUACAUCUUUCUUAGCAAUCUAAUUCUAACUCUAAGUAGUAGCUCAAGAAUCUAAUCUUCGAGAAAUGCGAUCGAAAUCCAUUCCUUCACGGUUAGAUUCUGCUCACUUCUUCCCUUAAGCUUCCUUUCUUUUCUUCGAUCCUACAAAACAUCAAUUGUAAUCUUAUCACAUUAUGUAUUAAGAAUCUAGAAUAGAAGCUUAAAAGAGUUAGUUAAUGGAUUUUACCUAUAUUAGAGCCAUACGUUUCGACUCUCCCAUCUCUUAGAUCUCUUAGGUAAAUGGGGCAGCUUCGUCUCCAAUGCCCUUUCUCUUGGCAAUAAAAGCAAAUUGACUCUUUUGGAACAUGACAUGGAACUACUUCAGACAUUGCCUUUCUCUUAUGAUCAAACUUUUCGAUCAUAGCAUGUCUUUCGUUGCCAUUGUCUAUAUCCAUAGAGGUCUUGAAGGCAGAUUCACCAAUCAACUUUGCUUUUCUAUUGCGCCAAACCAUUGCUGAUUCAGCAGCAAUAAGCAUAUAGGUGAGAUCUAUAAGGGUCACGUCGCGGUUCAUCAUAUAGUACUCUCUUACGAACUCACUAUAUGAGUUAGGAAGUGACUGAAGAACCCAAUCAACAGCCAUUUCCUCACAGACAACGGAUCCCAACAUUCUUAACCUAUCAAUGUGUGACUUCAUCCCUAGGACGUGUGCACACACCGACUUUCCUUCUUUAUGUUUACUUGCCAAAAGGGCUUGAGUGAUCUUGAACUUUUCAAGCCUUUGAACUUGUGGGUUAGGGAGAAUAAUUGGAGGAGGUGGAGGAAGUGAAGCAUGAUUUCUUGUUCCUCGAUCGAAUCGUGGAAUAUCAUCUUCAUGUGGAAAGCUUGUUCCACGGGAUUUGGGAAGACCAUAGUUGUCGAACUUUGACAUCUACAAAACGGGAGAAAACGAAUUCAAGUUAGUUGAUUGAUUGAGUCCUUAGUAAAUCACCCAAAUGAGAUACUAAGGCUAGGACCCAACACAAUAUUCUACAACUCGGGAGAGGGAUGCCGUAACCCUAAUUGCAGAAUAUUUGAAGGUAAGUGAAUGACGAUUCACUAAUUUCCACCACGAAAAACGAAAAAGAAAUUUAAGUUUUAAAUCUAUGAAAACUCCUAGAUCCUUUGAGAUUCAUUGAACUUUCAAUGGCAUGUUUAAAUCUCGAUAUGCCCCUCUUGUUUGUGACUGGGAUGCCGAGGAUCACAAAGCGGGUGUGAAUAACCAUGCAAACUUACAUGGUGCCCUCACAUGUUACAGUCACCUAUUCGAUGUGCCGGUAAACCACACACGCUCCACCGAACUAUGACAAACAUUGAGUCACCCUUUGCUACCUUUGCUUAGAACCAUUUAGUGUGCCGGUAAACCACACACGCUCCACUAACGUCUUCGCAAGGGCACAAAGUGUAAUUUCAUGGAAUUGCAUCAAUUCACUUUUGCCUAAGUAACUAAGAUUGGGAAUUUUAUGAAAACAUUUAGUUACUUUUAUACUUCAUUAUACUUAUAAUGGAAGGUUUCGUCCUAUCCUACCCGUUCGGCUAACGACCCUCCACUAGUCAAGAGUGCGGUGGGUAAGAGUGGAUACCCAUUCAAUCGCCAUUUUAUAGGCAAUUUCCUUAAACACCCCUUAUAGACCAGCUUCGUGAAUGAGGCCUACUAACGGUAAGACUGACUUUUACUCAUACAUAUAUAUAAUGUUAGACUUUUAAUGUUAUAUAUAGUAUAGGGUGUAUUUUACACUUUUAAAAUACUAGGUGGUCAAAUUUAACAAUUAUACUUUUAAUUCAAUUAAAUUGUAAACCUAAACUUUUAUGGAUUUAUUAAACCUCUUUUAAUUAUACACCUUAAUUAAUUAAUAAAACCAUAAGGGUGUGAUUUGAACUUUUUCAAAACUAUACUAGAGUUUUAGAAUUUAACAUUCCUAAUUAAACUUUUAAUCAACUUUUAAAUUCCAAAACUUGAGGGCAAGUUUUGAAACAUUUCAACACAUUAGGGUUUAGAAUUUAAAUAUACAUCAAAAUUAAACCAUUUAAUCAAAAUUUAAAUUCCAAAACUUGAGGGCAAGUUUUGAAACCUUUUUCAAAACAUUAGGGUUUCAACUAUUUAAAUUUCAAAACAACAAAACUUUUGGGUUCAAAUUUAAACUAUAAAACCUAAAGGGAAAAAUAUGAAACUUUUCAUAACAACAAGGAUCAAAUAACAAAUAAUCUAAAUUAACAUUUAAUCACAUAAUUAUCCAUAUUUGAUUUAUUUAAUGAUUUCUUGCAAAACAAUUUAUCAAUUUAGUCAAAAUAAUUAAUCAAUUAUCACAUAAGGAAACAAUUAUCUUAUUAAUUGAUGAAUAUAAUCAAUUAGAUCAAGAAUAUAGUCAAAUAUAUCAUAAAAUCGGAUUUAUAUUGAUCUAAUAUGAUAAGGUAACUAUCCCAAAUCAAAAACAGCAAGAAAUCCCGAGAUAUACUCCAUCUGACGAGUUGACUCGUCGAGUCAGCAUGGACUCGGCGAGUCAGUUAUGGACUCGGCGAGUCCAGCCUCCAGAACAUCAAAAAUAGAAUUUUUUUUGAACAUGUAAUGCAUCAAUACAAUUGAAACCAGUCUAGUCUCUGAUACCACUGAUGGGUUUUGGUCAUAAGACAUCCUAUGUGCUCAUACAAACCCUAAUGCUUGGAUCUAGGUUUCUCUAUUGUACAUGCAAGUUAUCCAAGGCUAUAAACCCUAAUUCUAGCAUAUGGGAAUCAAUAUUAACAUAUAAUUAGGUUUAAGAUGUUACCUUGAUUGUUAUGUUGCAAUAACAAUCCCAAUUCUUCCUUGAAUUGACUUUGGAAGGCUUAGAGUCACAAGUGUCACUCCUCUAAUGGCUUACAAACACCAAGAGCAAAUGGAGAAGGUAUAAAGAGAGAGGAGAGGUAUAAGAAUUCAACCCUAAGAUGCCUUGGGAAGGUCUGGACGAAAUCAAGAGCCAUAGGGGUGCUUAUAUAUAGGUGUAGAGAUAGGGUUUCAGUCCUUAUCCUUAUCUAGUUGCUUGUCCACCAAGCAACCCAUAAGAUAAGCCUUGAAUCCUUAUCAUGGUCGAAUUCUAAGUCCUUAUCACCUCAAAUUCGUCCAACCUAUCCUUAGGAUAAUCCUUACCCUAUUUUGUAACUAUCACAUAAUUACAAUUCAGCCCCUCUAUUUUAAUUAAUUACAUUUGAUCACAAAAUUAAUUCUUAAUUAAUUAUUGACCAAUAUUAAUUAAACAAAUAUGAUUUCUCCUUUAAUAUAUUAUUCUUAUAACAUAUUAAUAAAUCAUAAUAACCUCUCUCUCUAUUUAUUUCUCCAAUCAAGUUGCUUUGGUGAAGGCAACCCAAAAGGAUCAUGCACCAUCGGGUCAAGUACAUACAAAAAUAGUUAUGGACUUAGACACUAAUCCAACAGAAUUGUCUUGUUGUUCAAAAACUUAGUCAUUUUAGAAACUUACGACUACCUUUACCAAAAAAAAAAGUUUAGGGAAAUCUGCAAAAAGAAGUUUUUAAAGUUUGGCUCUAUUAAUGUAAAAUUAUUCCAUGAUUUUUUUUUCUUUUUGCAAUUACGCACUAAAAGCCAGUAAACACUUGCAAAAUAACUCUUAUACCCAGUUAAUGAUGGUUUUCUGGGCCAAAUUGUAAAUAAACAAUCAGAUAUGACUUUUUCUUUAAUAGGGUUAAGUUUAAAGACUUUUAUGGAUAUUUAUUUUUUUAUAUACUAAAUUCAUUGUUGAAAACUCAUAUUUAUUUAUUAAAUAACCUAAUAAUGAUAAUUUAAAAAACUCAUAUUUAAGUCUUGGGUGUAAAAAAUUUACUAUAAAACUGCAUCCUAUCGAAGAGCUUCUCACAAUCGAAUGACGCCUUAGAAAAUGAAGGAUUACCAGAGGAUAUUAUUCCCAAAUAAAGCUCCAUUGUACACACCAUGUGGCCUAAAAAACGCUCUUUUUACGACAAAUCAACAAAAGUUUUGUUAUUUGUAUUUAACAUGUGUUUUUAUAACUAUUGUAGAAAAACUUGAACUUAAUUUUGCCACUUCUAAAAAGGUGAAAACACUCUCCAUUGCCAUACUUUACACAUAAGUCACUUGCUUUACACCUAACUUCUGAAAAUUCAACAAUAAAGGUAACAUGUAGCCUAGAAAUGUGCUCCAUAUGAUAAAUUGUAAGAACAAUAAAGAUCGACAGAUUCUAUAUUUGCACUAUGAAUUAAAGAUGAUAAAUAAUGAUGAUCGAAAGAGUGCGUAAUGAUUGUAUUAAUCACAGCUCUAGAAGAAGGAACUUUUCUUUAAGAGCUUUAAAAAGGAGUAACCCUAAAAGUUACGUGCAUGCUAUUUAUACAUUAAGACAAUGAUACUAAUUCCGAUAAUGGACAGGCCCAUUUCGGAAUAAACAAAACUUUAAUAGCAUAAAUUUGACACAACAUCUUAUUUAGACCUAACAAUCUCCCCCUUUGUGUCAAAUCGAAAGAGAGUCUUCAUUUUUGUUUUUGAGUUUCAAAAAUCUUAGGCAUUAUUUUCAGAAGAGAUGCCCUGAUAGCAUGAUACCACUUAAUCAUAUCUGAUACACAUUUUAUAUCCGAAGCUGGAUUGGCUUUGUUUGCUUUAGCCCUUGCCAGAAUCUGAUCCAUUGCAUUUGUGGAGUACAAGUGUUUGUCCCUCAAAAAGAACAUGUAAUUUUUCAGAACUGCACCCUCCUUCUUCAUGUACACGAUGCUCCAAUAUUAUUUAUCUAUCAUUCCCCCAGUCAGAUCUUGGAUAUCCUUCGGUUCUUCAAAUGACUUCAUAAUGGGUCUUUUUUUCAGAAUAGAGGCGAUCUCAAUAUCCAUCCUCGAAACCUCCAAGAUCUAACAUAUGAUCAUCUUCUUCAGAUGGUUGAAAAUUGGCUCAAAUUUUUUUACAUCCUUCACAGUUAUGUUGAAUAAUGAAAUCCAGUCAUUUGGAUUCAUGAAAGGCAAAUCAGCCAAAGUAAACUCAUGAAGCACAUGAUUUGAACCCCGAAAUCCUUUGAAGUGAAUGUUCGUAAAAUCUUCAGUAUCAACAAGUAAUCCGAACUUCAAACCUACGAUCCUCUUCAGACUCCAGGACUCAUAUUGAGGAUUUCCAUACUUGAGAUAAAAACUAAAGAGUUUUUUGUUGACCGUGUUGUUGGAGAUAGGGGACUUCUCAAUUUUCUAGAAACAUUGGAACAUAAACGCUCGUCGGGUGAGGGGAAAGUCUAACUGGAAUUUUAUAUCACUGCAAGUAUCAAAUGAUGUAUUCGAUUCCAGCCAGUAUAGUUCCGGAAGAUCGAUGGCUUCCUUCUGAAUUUGCUUCAUAGUCUAAGCAGGAAACAAGGUCUUUUGACUUUCCAAUAUGAAAGCUGAAUUUUUGACUUCAGCCUCUUCUGCAUCGAGCUUCUCUCAGAGAGCAUUGAGCUCAUCAAGCUCUUUAUCACGUUUCUUUUGAACUAGAUUUUCAAAUUCAGAUAAGUCUUCUUCAAUGUCAUCUUCAUGGAUUACCUUUCCCUUAUAUUUCUUUGAUCCAGAAGCUACAUUAUCCUUCUAAUCAAUAUCUUCUUUCAUCUUAACCUCUUCUUCUCCCCCUUGUUUUGAAGGAGCACUACUUCCUGAAACACCUUGAACCUGAUUCAGUAAAGCAGACACGGGCUUCAGUUUUUCCGAUAGAGCAAGGUGGAUUGUAUAAUUGAAUAGAUAAGAUCUAGUCUCAACGAUUCUCAACAACCUUUAAUGAAUUUCUGAAUUGCGAUCCUUUAUAGAAAACUUCUCAUCUUGGAGCCUAGCAACUUCUGAUCUAGCAUGCUUCAUUGUUUCAUUCAGAACCUUUGCCUUCUGAGUUUGCUUUGCUAGGGCAUCCAUGAUUUUAUUCUCUGCUUCCAAAUCUAUCUUUAACGUAUUAAGCUGGUUGGUGAUAGUUGAGUUCAGAUCGGCAUUGCCGCACAUGAUAUCACCACGAAUCUUCGAUAGUGCUUCUCUCCUAGCCUUUAAAGAAAAACCAAAGGCUUCAAUGACCUUAUUCAGAUCAGCUAUGCUCUUAUCCGAAGAGGCCCUAAAACCAGCCAUGAAGUCUUUAACUUAAGAUUGUAAGAGUAGAACCUUUUCCACAUCUUUAAAUAUUUUCUUUUCUAAGGCUUGAGCAGCCUUAGAGGAUUCUUCAAUGACCUUUGAAUUUUCAGAAGUGAGCAUCUCCAUAGUUUCUCGAUGGGUGGUCAGAAGAUUUUCCCAUUUAGAAGACGAAAACUCUUGAGAGGAAUCCAAAAGUGAGUCAAGCUUUUCUUGUAGCUGCUUGGACUGUCCCUUCGUCAUAAGAGCUUUGUCUUCAUCACUGUUGAUGUUUAGAGGGAAGGGAUGAAAAAUGAAGUCCUCUGUGGGUUCUUGUUCAUAUCCGAAUAAAAUAUCUUUGUCCUUAUUAAAAGGAGAAGCAAUUGAUGUGGUCGGUUCAGAGGUUACACCGAUAUUAACAUUUUCCCCCGUAUUAGAUACGUUGAUAGGGAUGCAUGAAGUUUGUAUCUCCUCUGAAUCGGAUUUGAUUACAGGGACUUCUAUUGGAUCAGAGACUAAGGAUGUAGUAGGAGCUGUUGAAUCGGAAAACAUAGGUGAGGAUAGAGGGAUUGAAAUCUGAGGAAUAGAAAUUCCAACAGAAUUCAUUUGUGGUAAGGGAGGGGGGAUGAUAUCGGAAUAGUGGAUGUAGUGGGUGAGGAUUUCAUGGGUAAAGUGAUGGGUUAUGGUCAUAAGACAUCCUAUGUGCUCAUACAAACAUAAUGCUUGGAUCUAGGUUUCUCUAUUGUACAUGCAAGUUAUCCAAGACUAUAAACCCUAAUUCUAGCAUAUGGGAAUCGAUAUUAACAUAAGAAUAGGUUUAUAAUAUUACCUUGAUUGUUAUGUAGCAAUAACAAUCCCAAUUCCUCCUUGAAUUGACUUUGGAAGGCUUAGAGUCACAAGUGUCACUCCUUUAAUGGCUUACAAACACCAAGAGCAAAUGGAGAAGGUAUAAAGAGAGAGGAGAGGUAUAAGAAUUCAUCUCUAGGACCUCUUUGGAAGGCAUGGACGAAUUCAUGAGCCCUGAGGGUCUUUAUAUAGGUGUAGAGAUAGGGUUUCAGUCCUUAUCCUUAUCUAGUUGCUUGUCCACCAAGCAACCCAUAAGAUAAGCCUUGAAUCCUUAUCAUGGUCGAAUUCUAAGUCCUUAUCACCUCAAAUUCGUCCAACCUAUCCUUAGGAUAAUCCUUACCCUAUUUUGUAACUAUCACAUAAUUACAAUUCAGCCCCUCUAGUUUAAUUAAUUACAUUUGAUCACAAAAUUAAUUCUUAAUUAAUUAUUGACCAAUAUUAAUUAAACAAAUAUGAUUUCUCCUUUAAUAUAUUAUUCUUAUAACAUAUUAAUAAAUCAUAAUAACCUCUCUCUCUAUUUAUUUCUCCAAUCAAGUUGCUUUGGUGAAGGCAACCCAAAAGGACCAUGCACCAUCGGGUCAAGUACAUACCAAAAUAGUUAUGGACUUAGACACUAAUCCAACAGUCUCCCACUUGGAUAAGUCUAAUAACUAUUCUGCGUAUGACUUCAGAUCCUGAUCUGCAAUCGUAGCUUUCCAAAGCCGCUGUCAACUCUGAUCCUAUCAGAUACGCGUGUCCUUAAGUAAGGGAUCAUAUAUUCCUCCAUUCUAGAUAUCAUAUGAGAUAUGAUUUCAAAUCAUUCUCUUUGUACUAUAUCUCGAUUCCCGAUUUAUGACGACUGACUAAUUGAACAAAUCAAAUUAGCCCUAGCCCGGCCGAGCAUUUACGUUUGUCAUCACUAAAUCAUCGAGGGGCCCAAAGAUAUCGCUUUUAUCCUACUUUGGAUAAAAGGAACGGAUAAACUUUGAUACAAUGCUUGCUUGCACUCACUCACCGAAUCACACACAACAAUAUGUUUUAUAACACCAAGUUACUAGUGCGUUUACAUAUUAUCAAUGUGCAACCGAUUUGCAAGAUACAACUCACACAUCUCGGUUUCAAGAAUAUAAGAUGUUAUCGUCUCACCAAUCACUCGUGAUACAAUUCAUGGAGUGAUCCAAGUGAGCGUGGGUUUAAUCCAAUGCUCAAAUCAUAUUCAUAAGCACUCAUGAACGUUGCAGCAAACAUUUGCUUAUGUCUAAUACUCUUUUAGACAAUCCACACACCAAUUCACGACAGUCUUCAUUCAUAUCUACUUCCAACAUAUGAACGACUGUGGCCCGUUCGAAUAAUUCGAUUAUUCUUAAUAAACUCAAUUAUUCUGGAAGUCAAAACAUGCAAAUGUGAAACACAAGAAUAAUACUAAUCCCAUAUGGCCUCAAACCUUUGAGUAUAAAUAAAACACCUUUUAUUUAUCACCAUAUUGAUUACUCAUUAUUUGUCGUUUCGGGUAAUCAACUUCUUACUUGAAUUACAACACUUGUCCCAUGCUCCUAGCAUGCACACAAUGUUUACCUAUGGUUCUUACUUUGUGAAAUAGAUCACAUUGAACACAUUUCCAAUCAUUCUCAUUUCACAACUCCAAAUCCUUUUUCAUAAGUGUAAGAAUAUCAAAUUCUUGCUACUUAUAGAAUAUGCUAGAUUCUAACAUUCUAUGCAAUUAUCCUUUCGUAAUGUCACUGCACCAAAGUCACAAAGACUAUUGCCAAUGAUAUUACAAAGUCCUCUAUCGGAGAUUGUUACAAGACAAUUCCAUAGAUGUGAUGUCUCUCACUCAAAGUACAUUCUUUGAACAUCCUUUUGCAUAGAAGUUUCUAAUCUAGUCAUAGAUUUCUCAAUAUUCAAUUCCCAAUAUGGACACACUUCCAUAUGUUCCAUAUGACAACUCAUUCUUAAUAGAAUCUUAUCUAUUCGUAAUGAUGUCGAUAUGGUCCAUCCAAUAUGGAAACAUUUCCAUAUUUUCCAAUACUAUACUUCCAACUACUCACAAGCGACCAAUCCUCGUCGAACUUUGGAUUGUCCUUUGAUAGUUGUUUAAUUAUUUUAGUCAAAACCAAUUCUAGUCCCUUUUCCCUCUAAAUGCGCUCGACAUUUGGAAAAUUUUAGAAUGGUCAAACAUUAAAGCAUUUGCAAUCGAUCCUAUACCCGAAGCGUAUGGGACACGACGCAUAAUGUUUUAUUUGCUAUGUUCUCAAAAUUCGAAUUGUGAAGAGGGAUGCCGUAAUCAUAAUCGAAAUUUUAAGAACACACUUUGUACCUUUGACUAAAUUUUAUUAACAUUUCUCAACCUAAACCUUUAGAUUUGAAAUGAAGCAUAAUAUUCUCUCCCUUAAUUAUAGCAAAACAACUCUUCAACUAUUGCGACUUUGCAAAGUAUGACUCUUGUUUUCUAUAAUUAAUAUUGCUAACCUUGCAAUACUUUCCUUAAUAAUCAUACAAUCAUAACUUUUAUGCUCCCACUAUC
This 11584-nucleotide long non-coding RNA is filed under the name Lactuca sativa (garden lettuce). RNAcentral describes it as "long non-coding RNA (LSAT_LNC009213)". The record is from RNAcentral. Lineage: Eukaryota; Viridiplantae; Streptophyta; Magnoliopsida; Asterales; Asteraceae.